GACGAACGCUGGCGGCGUGCCUAAUACAUGCAAGUAGAACGCACAGUUUAUACCGUGGCUUGCUACACCAUAGACUGUGAGUUGCGAACGGGUGAGUAACGCGUAGGUAACCUGCCUGGUAGCGGGGGAUAACUAUUGGAAACGAUAGCUAAUACCGCAUAAUAUUAAUUAUUGCAUGAUAAUUAAUUGAAAGGUGCAAUUGCACCACUACCAGAUGGACCUGCGUUGUAUUAGCUAGUAGGUGAGGUAACGGCUCACCUAGGCGACGAUACAUAGCCGACCUGAGAGGGUGAUCGGCCACACUGGGACUGGGACACGGCCCAGACUCCUACGGGAGGCAGCAGUAGGGAAUCUUCGGCAAUGGACGAAAGUCUGACCGAGCAACGCCGCGUGAGUGAAGAAGGUUUUCGGAUCGUAAAGCUCUGUUGUAAGAGAAGAACGGGUGUGAGAGUGGAAAGUUCACACUGUGACGGUAUCUUACCAGAAAGGGACGGCUAACUACGUG
RNAcentral lists this ribosomal RNA (505 nucleotides) under uncultured bacterium. RNAcentral describes it as "partial 16S ribosomal RNA". It matches the Rfam family "Bacterial small subunit ribosomal RNA", at positions 28 to 507 of the family's 1533-position model. The record is from RNAcentral.